RNAcentral lists this ribosomal RNA (429 nucleotides) under bacterium. RNAcentral's name for it is "partial 16S ribosomal RNA". It matches the Rfam family "Bacterial small subunit ribosomal RNA", at positions 355 to 776 of the family's 1533-position model. The record is from RNAcentral.
UAGGGAAUCUUCGGCAAUGGGGGCAACCCUGACCGAGCAACGCCGCGUGAGUGAAGAAGGUUUUCGGAUCGUAAAGCUCUGUUGUAAGAGAAGAACGUGUGUGAGAGUGGAAAGUUCAUACAGUGACGGUAACUUACCAGAAAGGGACGGCUAACUACGUGCCAGCAGCCGCGGUAAUAGGUAGGUCCCGAGCGUUGUCCGGAUUUAUUGGGCGUAAAGCGAGGGCAGGCGGUUUAAUAUGUCUGAAGUUAAAGGCAGUGGCUUAACCAUUGUUCGCUUCAGAAACUGUUGAACUUGAGUGCAGAAGAGGAGAGUGGAAUUCCAUGUGUAGCGGUGAAAUGCGUAGAUAUAUGGAGGAACACCGGUGGCGAAAGCGGCUCUCUGGUCUGUAACUGACGCUGAGGCUCGAAAGCGUGGGGAGCAAACAGG